Molecule: ribosomal RNA, 253 nt
Filed under: uncultured bacterium
Lineage: Bacteria
Description: partial 16S ribosomal RNA
Rfam family: Bacterial small subunit ribosomal RNA
Source: RNAcentral
UACAGAGGGUGCGAGCGUUAAUCGGAAUUACUGGGCGUAAAGCGCACGUAGGUGGCGACGUAAGUCGGGUGUGAAAGCCCCGGGCUCAACCUGGGAAUUGCAUUCGAGACUGCAUUGCUGGAGUACGGAAGAGGAAGGCGGAAUUCCCGGUGGAGCGGUGAAAUGCGUUGAGAUCGGAAGGAACGCCCGUGGCGAAAGCGAGGUCCUGGACGCCUGCUGACGCUGAGACGCGAAAGCCAGGGGAGCGAACGGG